This 357-nucleotide unclassified non-coding RNA is filed under the name Hevea brasiliensis (rubber tree). The record is from RNAcentral. Lineage: Eukaryota; Viridiplantae; Streptophyta; Magnoliopsida; Malpighiales; Euphorbiaceae.
AAAAUUCCAAAAUCCAAUCAGGGAAAGCAAGGCAGCAACUCUACAUUUCUUUUUCCCCAUAUGUUCAUUCAGUUCAGGAAUCAACAUUCAUCCUGGAAUUGAAUUUCAUAAAUCAUGAGAAUAGUAAAGCUCCAUUUCAUAUAGGGUUAACGAGGUGACAUGUUAUAUCCCACCCUGUUUUAAGAGCGUUUGGCUCACUCAAAUUAACCAGGUAAAAACCCUCCCACUCCCCUCUUUCUCUGGAAUGGUAUAGAGAGGAAUUAAAGAGAGACUAGAGUAAUGAAAAUCUUCAUCUUUACUACAUUCUCAAUCUAACAUUGUUAAAUGUUCAUAUGUAACAAUUAGGUAACAUUCACA